UGGGGAAUUUUGGACAAUGGGCGAAAGCCUGAUCCAGCAAUGCCGCGUGUGUGAAGAAGGCCUUCGGGUUGUAAAGCACUUUUGUCCGGAAAGAAAUCCUUGGCUCUAAUACAGUCGGGGGAUGACGGUACCGGAAGAAUAAGCACCGGCUAACUACGUGCCAGCAGCCGCGGUAAUACGUAGGGUGCAAGCGUUAAUCGGAAUUACUGGGCGUAAAGCGUGCGCAGGCGGUUUUGUAAGACGGAUGUGAAAUCCCCGGGCUUAACCUGGGAACUGCAUUCGUGACUGCAAGGCUAGAGUAUGGCAGAGGGGGGUAGAAUUCCACGUGUAGCAGUGAAAUGCGUAGAGAUGUGGAGGAAUACCGAUGGCGAAGGCAGCCCCCUGGGCCAAUACUGACGCUCAUGCACGAAAGCGUGGGGAGCAAACAGGAUUAGAUACCCUGGUAGUCCACGCCCUAAACGAUGUCAACUAGUUGUUGGGGAUUCAUUUCCUUAGUAACGUAGUUAACGCGUGAAGUUGACCGCCUGGGGAGUACGGUCGCAAGAUU
RNAcentral lists this ribosomal RNA (547 nucleotides) under uncultured bacterium. RNAcentral describes it as "partial 16S ribosomal RNA". It matches the Rfam family "Bacterial small subunit ribosomal RNA", at positions 355 to 895 of the family's 1533-position model. The record is from RNAcentral.